Molecule: ribosomal RNA, 497 nt
Filed under: uncultured bacterium
Lineage: Bacteria
Description: partial 16S ribosomal RNA
Rfam family: Bacterial small subunit ribosomal RNA
Source: RNAcentral
GAUGAACGCUAGCGGCAGGCCUAAUACAUGCAAGUCGAGGGGCAGCACGGUAGCAAUACUGGUGGCGACCGGCGCACGGGUGCGUAACACGUAUGCAACCUGCCUUCAACUGGGAGAUAGCCCGGGGAAACUCGGAUUAAUACCCAUAACAUAAUUGGACAGCAUUGUUUGAUUAUUAAAGUUCCGACGGUUGAAGAUGGGCAUGCGUUCGAUUAGCUAGUUGGUGUAGGUAACGGCUCACCAUGGCAACGAUCGAUAGGGGGUCUGAGAGGAUGAUCCCCCACACUGGUACUGAGAUACGGACCAGACUCCUACGGGAGGCAGCAGUAGGGAAUAUUGGUCAAUGGACGCAAGUCUGAACCAGCCAUGCCGCGGGCAGGAAGACGGCCCUCUGGGUUGUAAACUGCUUUUGAUAGGGAACAAAUGCCACUUGCGAGUGGAGCUGAGUGUACCUAUAGAAUAAGCACCGGCUAACUCCGUGCCAGCAGCCGCCGUAA